UGCGGGUUAUCCCAACAAAUCGUGGCUCUUGACCCCAUUGUCUAAUCCUGUUGGUAGAGCAGAAAAACGUUACCAAGAGACACACAAAGCAUCGAGGCAAAUAAUUGAGCGUGCCUUCGGUGUACUUAAAAGCCGGUUUAGAUGUUUAGACACUUCCGGUGGUGCUCUUUUGUACUCACCGGCGAAGGUUUGCGGCAUGGUAAAUGCAUGUUGUAUUUUACACAACAUAUGUGUCGCAAACCGUUUGCCGGUGACUCUUCGUCGCAGUGCUUUCCGACGCGGGAACCGUUCUUCUGCUCUACCGGUGGGUAUGGACGAAGGAGAUGAUUCCCGACGGACAUUGAUCCAAAGCUUUUUUUCCACUGCCUAGUAUUACGUCCUGUUGACGCACCUUCCCAGGCCUGUUUUCAAAGUUUCGUCCUGUUGACGACCUGUUACCCCGUUUUUUCCUGUUGUUGGGUUGCCGCAAAUAUUGGACCCGUUUAUCCCACUCUACCAUGGGCAACCUACUUGUGAUGUGGACCUGAACCUCCGCCAUGUAGCAGACAACCCCCCUCAGGUCUUGCGGAGUAUCCUUCCAAAGUGGUGUGGAUGUGAAGAGAGACGACAAUUCCACUGAUGUACCAUGGCAUGGGUGACCUACUUGUGAUGUGGACCGGAACCUCCGCCAUGUAGCAGACAACCCCCCUCAGGUCUUGCGGAGUAUCCUUCCCAAGUGGUGUGGAUGUGAAGAGAGACGACAAUUCCACUGAUGUACCAUGGCAUGGGUGACCUACUUGUGAUGUGGACCGGAACCUCCGCCAUGUAGCUGACAACCCCCCUCAGGUCUUGCGGAGUAUCCUUCCCAAGUGGCGUGGAUGUGAAGAGACACGACAGUUCCACUGAUGUACCAUGGCAUGGGCGACCUACUUGUGAUGUGGACCGGAACCUCCGCCAUGUAGCAGACAACCCCCCUCAGGUCUUGUGGAGUAUUCUUCCCAAGUUGCUUGAAUCAUCGUGGAUGAAAAGGGACACGACAGUUCCCCUGCUGUACCAUGGGCGACCUAACACAAUACCACUGCAUCUCAUAUAUUACAUUUUAUUUACUAAUAAUUUAAAGAAAAACCACACAAAACUUCUCAUU
Molecule: long non-coding RNA, 1123 nt
Organism: Pseudophryne corroboree (corroboree frog)
Lineage: Eukaryota; Metazoa; Chordata; Amphibia; Anura; Myobatrachidae
Exons: 6
Source: RefSeq, a predicted model, not a curated record